Planococcus citri (citrus mealybug) is the source of this 1157-nucleotide long non-coding RNA. RefSeq lists it as uncharacterized. The record is from RefSeq and is a predicted model, not a curated record. NCBI's taxonomy places the organism in Eukaryota, Metazoa, Arthropoda, Insecta, Hemiptera, Pseudococcidae. The transcript has 3 exons.
UUACAAAGUACAAAAAAUCGCAAAAAAAGACAAAAUUGAAGAAUUUUAAAUUUUAAAAAAAAAUGGAAGAAGAGUUGAAAUAGUCAUUUAGUUCACAAAAUAUUUUGACUGAGAGUGCCCCAUGAACUGCAUGUAAUCCGAGUGUUUGUGUGAAAAUAGUAAAAUUCAUGUGGGUUGACAUUGGAGUGCAAAUUUUGUUUUUAGGAGGCUCAGUUGUGACCUAGCGAUGGUGCAGUGCGGAUGAAUUUCGCCUCAAAUUCAGACUUUAAUUUUUAUGUGGUGUGAUUGUGAUAUUGGUUCGGGUAUUGUUUUCUUCUACAGUCAAAUGGUAAUUCCAGUUUGAUUAUUAUGGCGGAGAUACUCAAGAAGUAGACAUUUUUUGAAAGAUUUUGUGAUGGAUCAAGGACAUUUUCAAGACAUGCAAGUUAAUACAAGCUGUGGAAGGUGGCGUUUCAUUUACUCCAUUUUCAAAAACCGCAGAUAUGUGAACUUCUCUUUUCUAUAAUUUGUUUUCUGCUUGCAGGAGUAGUUUGAUUUUAUUUAUAAAAUUCCUUUAAAUAAUGUAGGUACUAAUACUUACCUACUUCUUUUUUAAGCAUUUGCUGGCGGAUUCUUUCUCGAGGUUGAACUUAUUGGACUCCUGUGGUAUGCGGAACCUUUUCCAGGUGUUUUCUGAUGAUUUCGCUGGAACUUGGAAGCACCUGCGGAAUAUUUGUACAGAUGACCUUUCCGUGUGCAAUGUGCAUAUCAUCUGUGUGGUGAAACAUGACCAGACUGAUCCGGCAACUUGAAAAAAGAUUUUCUUGGCAGUUUUGCAGCUUAAGCAGCUCUUUUGAAGUGAUUUUUUUCGUAAGGUGUUGUGGGGUAGUUGCAAAAUCGCGAUAUUGCUGCCACCAUAGUGAAUUUUUGGUCAAGCUAUCAAGUGGAGAUUCUUGUACCUAUUUGACAAAAAAUCCUCUCUUGUGGCAGCAAUAUCGCGAUUUUGGAAUUACCCCACUACACCUUUGUCAUUUAGAUACGCAUUCGAUGUUAUUUUAUUUAUUUUUUGGAUCAACAACAAUGUUUCUUAAUAAUUUUUUAUUAUUUUUUUUACACUUCUUUGUUUAUAAUUAUAGUGUACUUACUCACCCGUGUAAAAAAAGAACAUUUUGACCUUU